GGUUAAGCGACUAAGCGUACACGGUGGAUGCCCUGGCAGUCAGAGGCGAUGAAGGACGUGCUAAUCUGCGAUAAGCGUCGGUAAGGUGAUAUGAACCGUUAUAACCGGCGAUUUCCGAAUGGGGAAACCCAGUGUGUUUCGACACACUAUCAUUAACUGAAUCCAUAGGUUAAUGAGGCGAACCGGGGGAACUGAAACAUCUAAGUACCCCGAGGAAAAGAAAUCAACCGAGAUUCCCCCAGUAGCGGCGAGCGAACGGGGAGCAGCCCAGAGCCUGAAUCAGUAUGUGUGUUAGUGGAAGCGUCUGGAAAGGCGCGCGAUACAGGGUGACAGCCCCGUACACAAAAAUGCACAUAUUGUGAGCUCGAUGAGUAGGGCGGGACACGUGGUAUCCUGUCUGAAUAUGGGGGGACCAUCCUCCAAGGCUAAAUACUCCUGACUGACCGAUAGUGAACCAGUACCGUGAGGGAAAGGCGAAAAGAACCCCGGCGAGGGGAGUGAAAAAGAACCUGAAACCGUGUACGUACAAGCAGUGGGAGCACGCUUAGGCGUGUGACUGCGUACCUUUUGUAUAAUGGGUCAGCGACUUAUAUUCUGUAGCAAGGUUAACCGAAUAGGGGAGCCGAAGGGAAACCGAGUCUUAACUGGGCGUUAAGUUGCAGGGUAUAGACCCGAAACCCGGUGAUCUAGCCAUGGGCAGGUUGAAGGUUGGGUAACACUAACUGGAGGACCGAACCGACUAAUGUUGAAAAAUUAGCGGAUGACUUGUGGCUGGGGGUGAAAGGCCAAUCAAACCGGGAGAUAGCUGGUUCUCCCCGAAAGCUAUUUAGGUAGCGCCUCGUGAAUUCAUCUCCGGGGGUAGAGCACUGUUUCGGCAAGGGGGUCAUCCCGACUUACCAACCCGAUGCAAACUGCGAAUACCGGAGAAUGUUAUCACGGGAGACACACGGCGGGUGCUAACGUCCGUCGUGAAGAGGGAAACAACCCAGACCGCCAGCUAAGGUCCCAAAGUCAUGGUUAAGUGGGAAACGAUGUGGGAAGGCCCAGACAGCCAGGAUGUUGGCUUAGAAGCAGCCAUCAUUUAAAGAAAGCGUAAUAGCUCACUGGUCGAGUCGGCCUGCGCGGAAGAUGUAACGGGGCUAAACCAUGCACCGAAGCUGCGGCAGCGACACUAUGUGUUGUUGGGUAGGGGAGCGUUCUGUAAGCCUGUGAAGGUGUGCUGUGAGGCAUGCUGGAGGUAUCAGAAGUGCGAAUGCUGACAUAAGUAACGAUAAAGCGGGUGAAAAGCCCGCUCGCCGGAAGACCAAGGGUUCCUGUCCAACGUUAAUCGGGGCAGGGUGAGUCGACCCCUAAGGCGAGGCCGAAAGGCGUAGUCGAUGGGAAACAGGUUAAUAUUCCUGUACUUGGUGUUACUGCGAAGGGGGGACGGAGAAGGCUAUGUUGGCCGGGCGACGGUUGUCCCGGUUUAAGCGUGUAGGCUGGUUUUCCAGGCAAAUCCGGAAAAUCAAGGCUGAGGCGUGAUGACGAGGCACUACGGUGCUGAAGCAACAAAUGCCCUGCUUCCAGGAAAAGCCUCUAAGCAUCAGGUAACAUCAAAUCGUACCCCAAACCGACACAGGUGGUCAGGUAGAGAAUACCAAGGCGCUUGAGAGAACUCGGGUGAAGGAACUAGGCAAAAUGGUGCCGUAACUUCGGGAGAAGGCACGCUGAUAUGUAGGUGAAGUCCCUCGCGGAUGGAGCUGAAAUCAGUCGAAGAUACCAGCUGGCUGCAACUGUUUAUUAAAAACACAGCACUGUGCAAACACGAAAGUGGACGUAUACGGUGUGACGCCUGCCCGGUGCCGGAAGGUUAAUUGAUGGGGUUAGCCGCAAGGCGAAGCUCUUGAUCGAAGCCCCGGUAAACGGCGGCCGUAACUAUAACGGUCCUAAGGUAGCGAAAUUCCUUGUCGGGUAAGUUCCGACCUGCACGAAUGGCGUAAUGAUGGCCAGGCUGUCUCCACCCGAGACUCAGUGAAAUUGAACUCGCUGUGAAGAUGCAGUGUACCCGCGGCAAGACGGAAAGACCCCGUGAACCUUUACUAUAGCUUGACACUGAACAUUGAGCCUUGAUGUGUAGGAUAGGUGGGAGGCUUGGAAGUGUGGACGCCAGUCUGCAUGGAGCCGACCUUGAAAUACCACCCUUUAAUGUUUGAUGUUCUAACGUUGACCCGUAAUCCGGGUUGCGGACAGUGUCUGGUGGGUAGUUUGACUGGGGCGGUCUCCUCCUAAAGAGUAACGGAGGAGCACGAAGGUUGGCUAAUCCUGGUCGGACAUCAGGAGGUUAGUGCAAUGGCAUAAGCCAGCUUGACUGCGAGCGUGACGGCGCGAGCAGGUGCGAAAGCAGGUCAUAGUGAUCCGGUGGUUCUGAAUGGAAGGGCCAUCGCUCAACGGAUAAAAGGUACUCCGGGGAUAACAGGCUGAUACCGCCCAAGAGUUCAUAUCGACGGCGGUGUUUGGCACCUCGAUGUCGGCUCAUCACAUCCUGGGGCUGAAGUAGGUCCCAAGGGUAUGGCUGUUCGCCAUUUAAAGUGGUACGCGAGCUGGGUUUAGAACGUCGUGAGACAGUUCGGUCCCUAUCUGCCGUGGGCGCUGGAGAACUGAGGGGGGCUGCUCCUAGUACGAGAGGACCGGAGUGGACGCAUCACUGGUGUUCGGGUUGUCAUGCCAAUGGCACUGCCCGGUAGCUAAAUGCGGAAGAGAUAAGUGCUGAAAGCAUCUAAGCACGAAACUUGCCCCGAGAUGAGUUCUCCCUGACUCCUUGAGAGUCCUGAAGGAACGUUGAAGACGACGACGUUGAUAGGCCGGGUGUGUAAGCGCAGCGAUGCGUUGAGCUAACCGGUACUAAUGAACCGUGAGGCUUAACCUU
RNAcentral lists this ribosomal RNA (2905 nucleotides) under Escherichia coli. RNAcentral describes it as "23S ribosomal RNA". It matches the Rfam family "Bacterial large subunit ribosomal RNA". Lineage: Bacteria; Pseudomonadati; Pseudomonadota; Gammaproteobacteria; Enterobacterales; Enterobacteriaceae. The record is from RNAcentral.